This 409-nucleotide ribosomal RNA is filed under the name uncultured bacterium. RNAcentral's name for it is "bacterial SSU rRNA". It matches the Rfam family "Bacterial small subunit ribosomal RNA", at positions 355 to 755 of the family's 1533-position model. The record is from RNAcentral.
UGGGGAAUAUUGGGACAAUGGGCGCAAGCCUGAUCCAGCCAUACCGCGUGGGUGAAGAAGGCCUUCGGGUUGUAAAGCCCUUUUGUUGGGAAAGAAAUCCAGCCGGCUAAUACCUGGUUGGGAUGACGGUACCCAAAGAAUAAGCACCGGCUAACUUCGUGCCAGCAGCCGCGGUAAUACGAAGGGUGCAAGCGUUACUCGGAAUUACUGGGCGUAAAGCGUGCGUAGGUGGUCGUUUAAGUCCGUUGUGAAAGCCCUGGGCUCAACCUGGGAACUGCAGUGGAUACUGGGCGACUAGAGUGUGGUAGAGGGUAGCGGAAUUCCUGGUGUAGCAGUGAAAUGCGUAGAGAUCAGGAGGAACAUCCAUGGCGAAGGCAGCUACCUGGACCAACACUGACACUGAGGCACG